This is a long non-coding RNA of Apodemus sylvaticus (European woodmouse), 449 nucleotides long. RefSeq lists it as uncharacterized. NCBI's taxonomy places the organism in Eukaryota, Metazoa, Chordata, Mammalia, Rodentia, Muridae. The record is from RefSeq and is a predicted model, not a curated record. The transcript is spliced from 3 exons.
UUGUGUUACAAGAAGUUCCGAAACGUGCCAUAAGGGACACCCAACAAGAUGGAUGGGCCCAGCCAGGUGGAGAGGGACGCUUUGCAAUGGGAGAGCUGCAUACCUUCCAUCAGAUGGGUGUGUCCGAGAGAAAACCUUUAGAGAAGAGUCUGCACACGAUUAAAACAGGAGGAGAGAGAGCCUUCUUGUGGGAAAGUCUCAGCAAACUAAGGAGAUGCAGGGACCAUCGGAGCCCUCUCCAUGCCUUGCUGAUCAUUUUUAAGCGGUAACGACCUCCACCUCCCAUCUGAGAGCAUUGGCACUGCCCAUCGGUAGAGAGAAAGGACCAGAGCCAGUCCCCAGAGAGGCUGCACGUGGAAAGAUGGCCACAGGCCCCAGCUUUUAAAAGCCACUGUUGAAGGAAUGGUGUGUGUGUGUGUGUGUGUGUGUGUGAGAGAGAGAGAGAGAGA